This 301-nucleotide ribosomal RNA is filed under the name uncultured bacterium. RNAcentral describes it as "partial 16S ribosomal RNA". It matches the Rfam family "Bacterial small subunit ribosomal RNA", at positions 509 to 807 of the family's 1533-position model. The record is from RNAcentral.
CAGUCGCCGCGGUAAUACGAAGGGGGCUAGCGUUGUUCGGAAUUACUGGGCGUAAAGCGCACGUAGGCGGAUAUUUAAGUCAGGGGUGAAAUCCCGCAGCUCAACUGCGGAACUGCCUUUGAUACUGGGUAUCUUGAGUAUGGAAGAGGUUAGUGGAAUUGCGAGUGUAGAGGUGAAAUUCGUAGAUAUUCGCAGGAACACCAGUGGCGAAGGCGGCUAACUGGUCCAUAACUGACGCUGAGGUGCGAAAGCGUGGGGAGCAAACAGGAUUAGAUACCCCAGUAGUCCCUGUCUCUUAUAC